Long non-coding RNA from Triticum aestivum (bread wheat), 1554 nucleotides. RefSeq lists it as uncharacterized. The transcript has 4 exons. NCBI's taxonomy places the organism in Eukaryota, Viridiplantae, Streptophyta, Magnoliopsida, Poales, Poaceae. The record is from RefSeq and is a predicted model, not a curated record.
UUUGGUUGCCUGAAAAAGGAAAAAUACGUCUCUUUGUGUAAUUGUGGUAAUCAAUUUUAAUCUUUCUUGCUUUUACCUUAGUCUUGCUCAAUAUGGUCUUAUACUUUGAAAGUUCUAAUCUGGUUAACAUUAAGCUUUUGAAGUUUUAGUUAUACCUGUGUUGAUAGUCAUUAGAAGACAACUAAACAACAAAAGGUUAGAGUUCAACUUCAGUUAUGUAUCAAAUUAUUUAUUUCAUUGAGAUGUCUGAGAUUUAAAUUAGAAGAAAUUUUAUUAGCUUUGCCAUGUGGCUACAAAAUCCCCUCGCUAUUGUUUGAUCUUGACAAUCUCUGAACCUGUUAUAUUCUGUAACUUUGGAGAACAUGCUGGACAUUCACUGUUGCUUGAGAUAUAUUAAUCUGUUCUAUUUGAGAUAUAUGGGUCAUUGGAUAAGUAGGAUCCUCUAUACCGAAGUGAACAUGUUAGAAGUAUUUACUAGCUCUCCUCUGCUUUUUUCUGCAGGUGGCACUUUUGCUUGUGUCUUGUUAUCUUUUCGAAAUGGUGAAGCUGACAAUGAUAGCCUGUAUCACUGAUGGCCUUUCAUUAGCGGAGUGCUUAGAUGGUGGUUAUGUUAAGGAUGUUGUCUUCUACAAGCAGCAAGCAAAAUUGUUGUUCAAAAACAUAUAUAAAGGCCAACAUGAAUCAUCAAGACUGUCAACUGAGACUGGACCACACCAUUCCAGGUUAAGGGGCGUAUGGCGGUGAGGAAGCGGCGGCGCGCGCCUACAACCUGGCGGCAUUGAAGUACUGGGGCCAUGACACCAUCCUCGACUUCCUGCUGUCUAGCUACGACCAAGAGUUGAAGGAAAUGGAGGAGCAAUCCAGGGAAGAGUACAUUGGUUCGCUCCGGAGGUAAGCGCCGCCAUAAACGCCAACGUGCCAAAAAGACAAGGGGCCGAGCUCCAUGUAGCGAACCAUGUCUUUGUGAGAGGACCGUAAUAAGAGGUAGCAUGCUGGCCUUAUGCCAUUGUUCAAUACUUUGCAUAUUAAAUGAACUCUUACACCAUUUUUUAAUAGAUUGUUCUUCGCAUGUUAAACUCCACUCUUACGCAUAGGACCAAUAUGCUGCAAACUAUGGGGCAAACCAUCGCUCACUAUCAACAAGCGGUCAAUUAAAAGAACAUAAUCGUAUUAUCCAUGAUUUUUUUCUAUGGCUUGAUUGGUUAAACUAAAAACUCACAGCAGGUUCAUGUGACGUGCCAUGUGAGAAGUUGAACGACAAGACAGUCAAGUGAAGUUAUCAAAUAGUAUGCUUUAGUUGAACUGUAUAGGUUCCUUAUCUCUCACUGGCGCUCUGGCUUGAUUUUGUUGUCUAACUCUACUCUCUGUAUCUAACUUAAUUUGAAUUGAUCGUCCUGCCUUAGCUUUGGAACAAAGAAAUGUUUCCCUUUUAUUAUGAGCCUCCAGGUCAUUUGUUCUACUGAUUAAAUAUUUCCUACUCACCUUGCUUUUGGUAUACCCAACAUUGUUCUUGAUUUACUUUUGGAACAAAAUAUAUAUUCAUGAGCUUCCAUA